This 317-nucleotide ribosomal RNA is filed under the name uncultured eukaryote. RNAcentral describes it as "partial 18S ribosomal RNA". It matches the Rfam family "Eukaryotic small subunit ribosomal RNA", at positions 1470 to 1796 of the family's 1831-position model. The record is from RNAcentral.
CCCUUAGAUGUUCUGGGCCGCACGCGCGCUACACUGAAUGGAUCAACGUGUUUUCCCUUCCCGAGAGGGACGGGUAACCCGCUGAACCCCAUUCGUGGUAGGGAUCGGAGCUUGCAAUUGUUCUCCGUGAACCAGGAAUUCCCAGUAAGCGCAAGUCAUAAGCUUGCGUUGAUUACGUCCCUGCCCUUUGUACACACCGCCCGUCGCUCCUACCGAUUGGGUGCUCCGGUGAAUUGUUUGGACUGCUGUCAGUCUUUUUGGCUGUCGGCGAGAAGCUCUGUGAACCUUAGCACCUAGAGGAAGGAGAAGUCGUAACA